This 58-nucleotide transfer RNA is filed under the name Diaphorina citri (Asian citrus psyllid). It matches the Rfam family "tRNA", at positions 8 to 63 of the family's 71-position model. From Rfam's summary of the family: Transfer RNA (tRNA) molecules are approximately 80 nucleotides in length. Their secondary structure includes four short double-helical elements and three loops (D, anti-codon, and T loops). Further hydrogen bonds mediate the characteristic L-shaped molecular structure. tRNAs have two regions of fundamental functional importance: the anti-codon, which is responsible for specific mRNA codon recognition, and the 3' end, to which the tRNAs corresponding amino acid is attached (by aminoacyl-tRNA synthetases). tRNAs cope with the degeneracy of the genetic code in two manners: having more than one tRNA (with a specific anti-codon) for a particular amino acid; and 'wobble' base-pairing, i.e. permitting non-standard base-pairing at the 3rd anti-codon position. The record is from Rfam by way of RNAcentral. Lineage: Eukaryota; Metazoa; Arthropoda; Insecta; Hemiptera; Psyllidae.
UAGCUUAGUUGGUAGUGCGUCUGCCUUGUAAGCGCUAAGCCGCGGGUUCGAUUCCCGC